UACGAAGGGGGCUAGCGUUGCUCGGAAUCACUGGGCGUAAAGCGCACGUAGGCGGAUUGCUAAGUCAGGGGUGAAAUCCUGGAGCUCAACUCCAGAACUGCCUUUGAUACCGGCAACCUUGAGUCCGGGAGAGGUGAGUGGAACUGCGAGUGUAGAGGUGAAAUUCGUAGAUAUUCGCAAGAACACCAGUGGCGAAGGCGGCUCACUGGCCCGGUACUGACGCUGAGGUGCGAAAGCGUGGGGAGCAAACAGG
RNAcentral lists this ribosomal RNA (253 nucleotides) under uncultured bacterium. Its description in RNAcentral is "partial 16S ribosomal RNA". It matches the Rfam family "Bacterial small subunit ribosomal RNA", at positions 524 to 776 of the family's 1533-position model. The record is from RNAcentral.